This 86-nucleotide ribosomal RNA is filed under the name Listeria monocytogenes. Its description in RNAcentral is "partial 23S ribosomal RNA". The record is from RNAcentral. Lineage: Bacteria; Bacillati; Bacillota; Bacilli; Caryophanales; Listeriaceae.
AAGAUGAUCAGGUAGAUAGGUUUGGAGUGGAAGUGUAGCGAUACAUGGAGCGGACAAAUACUAAUCGAUCGAGGACUUAACCAAAA